GUUGGUCGACCUGUCGCUUGCGCUGAAAAGCGCACGAGGAAAGUCCGGGCAACACAGAGUAUCCUACUUCCUAACAGAAAGCUGUCCGUGAGGGUAGAGUAACGCAGAAGAAAAUAACCGCCGGCUUUUAUAGUCGGUAAGGGUGAGAAGGUGGGGUAAGAGCCUACCAGACUUGUGGCAACAUGAGUGCUGUGCGUCUUAGGAGUUGUAAGGUCAUGUAUACCGGCAUUUGAGGGCUACUCGCUCAACGCUGGAGGGUAGACCGCUAAAGCCGACAUGGUGACAUGCGGCUCAGAUAAAUGACAGGUGCCCUACUAUUAUGGUAGAGAACAGAACCCGGCUUACAGACUGGCUGCU
This 357-nucleotide RNase P RNA is filed under the name uncultured Bacteroides sp. RNAcentral describes it as "Bacterial RNase P class A". It matches the Rfam family "Bacterial RNase P class A". From Rfam's summary of the family: Ribonuclease P (RNase P) is a ubiquitous endoribonuclease, found in archaea, bacteria and eukarya as well as chloroplasts and mitochondria. Lineage: Bacteria; Pseudomonadati; Bacteroidota; Bacteroidia; Bacteroidales; Bacteroidaceae. The record is from RNAcentral.